RNAcentral lists this ribosomal RNA (448 nucleotides) under uncultured bacterium. RNAcentral describes it as "bacterial SSU rRNA". It matches the Rfam family "Bacterial small subunit ribosomal RNA", at positions 355 to 825 of the family's 1533-position model. The record is from RNAcentral.
UCGGGAAUUUUGGGCAAUGGGCGAAAGCCUGACCCAGCAACGCCGCGUGAAGGAUGAAGUAUUUCGGUAUGUAAACUUCGUAAGAAUAGGAAGAAUAAAUGACGGUACUAUUUGUAAGGUCCGGCUAACUACGUGCCAGCAGCCGCGGUAAUACGUAGGGACCAAGCGUUGUUCGGAUUUACUGGGCGUAAAGGGCGCGUAGGCGGUGUGUCAAGUCAGUUGUGAAAUCUCCGAGCUUAACUCGGAACGGUCAACUGAUACUGUCACACUAGAGUACAGAAGGGGCAAUCGGAAUUCUUGGUGUAGCGGUGAAAUGCGUAGAUAUCAAGAGGAACACCUGAGGCGAAGGCGGGUUGCUGGGCUGAUACUGACGCUGAGGCGCGAAAGCUAGGGUAGCAAACGGGGAUUAGAUACCCCAGUAGUCCCUGAGCGGGCUGGCAAGGCGCAU